This 456-nucleotide ribosomal RNA is filed under the name uncultured bacterium. RNAcentral describes it as "bacterial SSU rRNA". It matches the Rfam family "Bacterial small subunit ribosomal RNA", at positions 8 to 510 of the family's 1533-position model. The record is from RNAcentral.
AGAGUUUGAUCCUGGCUCAGAACGUACGCUGGCGGCACGCCUAACACAUGCAAGUCGAACGCAGUAGCAAUACUGAGUGGCAAACGGGUGAGUAUAAUGUGGGAAUCUGCCUUUUGGUUUGGAAUAACACGGGGAAACUUGUGCUAAUACCGAAUAAGCCCUUACGGGGAAAGUUUUAACGCCGAAAGAUGAGCCCGCACUUGAUUAGCUAGUUGGUAAGGUAAAAGCUUACCAAGGCAAUGAUCAAUAGCUGUUCUUAGAGGAAGACCAGCCACAUUGGGACUGAGACACGGCCCAGACUCCUACGGGAGGCAGCAGUGGGGAAUCUUGCACAAUGGGGGAAACCCUGAUGCAGCGAUGCCGCGUGAGUGAAGAAGGCCUUUGGGUUGUAAAACUCUUUCUUCGGGGAAGAAAAUGACUGUACCCGAAUAAGAAGGUCCGGCUAACUUCGUGCCA